AUGCAAAGAACUGGUCCCACAGUGAAGCCCUCAGUGUCUCUGCUGCCGCCCUCUUUUCUGCAGAUCUCUGGAGACUCAGCCGCACUGCUCUGCCUGCUCAGCUCUUACUCUCCACAGGGGGCGCUGGUGAGCUGGACACUGGACGGCUCAGAGGUCACCGAGGGGGUUGUGACCAGCGCAGAGAGCGAGCAGGACGGCCGCUACAGCCGCAGUAGUGUCCUGACCCUCAGCAAAUCACGCUGGGAAGCGGGAGAGCUGUAUGUCUGCAGAGUAACACAUGAUGGAGCUCCUCAUGAGGCCUCGUUCCACAAGAGUCGCUGUUAG
Non-coding RNA from Carassius carassius (crucian carp), 324 nucleotides. NCBI's taxonomy places the organism in Eukaryota, Metazoa, Chordata, Actinopteri, Cypriniformes, Cyprinidae. The record is from the annotation of a RefSeq genome assembly.